UACGGGGGGAGCAAGCGUUGUUCGGAUUUACUGGGCGUAAAGGGCGCGUAGGCGGCCACCGCAAGUCACUUGUGAAAUCUCCGGGCUUAACCCGGAAAGGUCAACUGAUACUGCGGGGCUAGAGUGCAGAAGGGGCAACUGGAAUUCUCGGUGUAGCGGUGAAAUGCGUAGAGAUGUGGAGGAACACCGAUGGCGAAGGCAGCCUCCUGGGCCAACACUGACGCUCAUGCACGAAAGCGUGGGGAGCAAACAGG
RNAcentral lists this ribosomal RNA (254 nucleotides) under uncultured bacterium. RNAcentral describes it as "partial 16S ribosomal RNA". It matches the Rfam family "Bacterial small subunit ribosomal RNA", at positions 524 to 776 of the family's 1533-position model. The record is from RNAcentral.